CGAAAGCCAAAAGAAUAAUAAUAAAAAAAAUAUCGAUAAUAAUAUUUUCUUCUACUUAACCUCAUCAGACAGAGAGAGAGAGACCAGUUCGCUCCUCCGGUGAUAGGUUUUUAUUCUGCUGCUCCUUUCCGUGUGUGACUGUUUGUUUGUAUUCACUCAAAAACAAUUUUUCCAAAUGGGAGACUCAGAAAACGCUCAGCCACCUUCAAAAAAGAGAGGUGCUUUGAAGCAGAUAUCUCGUGAGAAUCCAGAUGAUGAUGAUGAUGUUUCAGCUGGAUUGGAGAGUGGGACUUUCAAGAAAGCCAGUGAUGAGGUUUUGGCUAGUAGGAGAAUCGUCAGAGUCAAGCGCAAAGAGCCUUCCUCUGCUCCACCACCUGCUGCAGCAACAACCAAUCCCUUUGCUGGAAUUCAAUUGCUCCCUACUGCACCUGCUUCAACUGCUUUUGGAACAACUCCACCUCUGGCUGAGUCUAAGUUGGCUCCUGCUGAAGCCGUAGUUGAAGACAAUCAAAAGGAAACUGAUGCAGAUGAGGACGGUGAUGAAGUUGAGAGUAAGAAGAAGGUUGAUGAUGUCAAAGACUCUGCUCAGGAAGUGACUAAAGAUGAUAAUGAGCGUGGAAAGACAUCUGAUGACCAGACUACUCAUGAUGAUGUUAAAGAAUCUGCUGAGGAAGCGACAAAAGAUGAUAAUGAGCGUGGAAAGACAUCUGAUGAUGAUGUAGACAAGACUGUCCAAGGAACAGACCAAACUGAGGAUCUUGUUCAGAAGGAAUCAGUUGGUGAUCAGACUGAGGGAAAAGAAAAAGAAGGUGAUGAAGCAGAGAAGAACGGUGAUAAGAAUGGCUCAAUGACUUCGUUCCAACAGCACUCAAGUAGCAAAAACGCAUUCACAGGGCUCGCCACUACAGAGUCUUCUGCUCCUAAGUUCUCGUUUGGUGAUGGUUCUGGAUCUCCCUUUGGUUUAGGCCUUUCAACCACCAACACCCCUUCUCUUUUCGGUGCAUCCAUCAUCAAGAAGAGUGAAGGUAGCGGGUUUCCUUCAAAAGAAGAGGUUUCAACAGAAACAGGAGAAGAGAACGAGAAUGCUGCCUUCUCAGCUGAUUCCAUCAUGUUUGAGUAUCAAGACGGAGGAUGGAGAGAGCGCGGUAAAGGAGAAGUCAAGGUAAACGUCUCAAGUAACGGUGGUAAAGCGAGGCUAGUCAUGAGAGCUAAAGGGAACUACAGGUUGAUCUUAAACGCGAGUCUCUACCCGGAGAUGAAACUUGCGAGCAUGGACAAGAAAGGAAUCACAUUCGCUUGUGUGAAUAGUGAAGGCAAAGAUGGUCUCUCUACAUUUGCGCUCAAGUUCAAAGACCCAACGAUCGUGGAAGAGUUUCGUGUAGCUGUUGACAAACAUAAGGGUAGUAAACCAAUUGAAACAGCUCCUCCUUUGAAGACACCUGAGAACUCUCCUACCGCUACAGAUGCUUGAAGAAAGGUCGUUCUUAAGAGAGAGAUUUUAACAACUUCGCCGGAUUAGACAGAAACAGACCAACUGACGACACUGUGCUAAAUAAAUGUCGGUUCGGAUAUUUUUAAUCUAAAAACUCUCUGAAAUACUCAGAAUAGAUGUUGCUCGAAAAAUAGAUUGUUCCUUUGUUCUCCCGGAUCUUGCUGCUUCGGACUUUCAAUUGUUUGGGCCAUUCACCAUAGGAAGUUUCUUUUCUCGAUGGGUUGAUCAAGAUCGUCUCCAUCGUCUCUCCAAGGUUCUCUUUCUAUGUCUACAUGCAAUUGUUCUAUCUCCAUUCUGGAUCUGUUUUAUUUGUUCAUGAUGUCUUAGUUGUAAGCUUGUGUUGUAUUUGUCUUUCGGUUAGUAUUAUGUGUUCAUAUUAUGUGUUCAUAUUAUCUUCCGGGGAUGUUUGUCUACUCCGCCGGACUGUUUUUCCGGGUUUACUUGUAAUCGCCGGACUGGUUAUGUUCUCAUGUACAAGUUCUUGAUGUAAUCUUCAGAAUCAAUAUAAUCAAUCA
Raphanus sativus (radish) is the source of this 2007-nucleotide RNA transcript. It is a transcript of the gene named nuclear pore complex protein NUP50A, with no coding region annotated. The transcript has 4 exons. The record is from RefSeq and is a predicted model, not a curated record. Lineage: Eukaryota; Viridiplantae; Streptophyta; Magnoliopsida; Brassicales; Brassicaceae.